UUUAUGUUCUGGACUUCGAUUAUGUAUCUAAUAUCCUACAAGAAAUUGUAUAUUUCACCUUUGCACCAAAAAAAAAAACAUAAUUUGUUGACCAGUGUAAUUAUAUCAGGACAUGUAAUGAAUGAAUAGAUGAGUAUUAUAAUAACAGGAUAUACAGGUAGGUACUUACAUUCUUGAGGAUUUGAUUGAAUAGGUUAACACUUUUGAUAAAAUUAAACUUGCACGCUGAUUUAGUUCAGGAGUGAUUUGUGUUGUUAUUCGGGAGCCGUUUAUAUAGGCCUAAAAAUCACGUCAUUCUAACCAAAUAUGUAAAAAUGCACGCUUGCAAAAAAUAAAAACUAGUUGUCACACGUGGUUUUACCCGCGUCCCGAUGGAUUUAAUUCCCGUACCAGGACAAAAUAUAGCCUAUGUUCAACGCAUUUAGUGUAGCUACCUAAUAGUGAAAGAAUUCGGUUUGAUCGUUUCGGAGCCUAUUCGCGGCAAACAAAAAAAUAAACAAACAAACAAUCAAAUCUUGCCUCUUUAUAAUAUUAGUAGAGAAAUGCUGAGACUGCAGAUGCUGCCAUAUAAAGAUUAUUUGCGAUGGUGCAUACGAGCGUUUAAAUUGUAGCGUUUUCGGUAGCUCAGUCAGGCAGACAAUCGUUUGUAAAUCGCAUAUUAUGUAGAUGUUCUACCAAUUGUAGAAACGAUGUAUAGCAACUUCUACCCACGAUCGACGCAAAACAAGCAGUUUAUAAACUUUUUCCAUGUAUAGGUAGGAAAUAUGUUUAUCAGCAGAAACGCUGCGGUUUGCACGCUCGCGUACAUUAUUUCAACUUCUUACACGUGGAGUACCCAAAUAAGAACUUGAAUCUCACGUUUCUAUAGUAUAUUUAAAAACAAUGUAUAAUUAUGUAUUUAAUUUUAUAAUUUUGAACCUUAAUGACAAGAAAAAACAAAAUGCGAGUAAGUAUAAAACCAGAAUAAAAUCCUGGAGAAAUCACAUUCCCGUUGAAUAUCUCGUUCUACAAUGUCGAACUCCAGUGAUAUUUUCAUCAAUGAUUCAUCAUGCUCCCAAAUACCGGCAGCGCAACAACUACGUCAAAAUGUUUUGAACUACCUAGAGAGGGAAAGACCGUUCCGGUAUGAUGAAAUAAGAUCGAGUCCAUCGUACUCUCCGAUUCCAGCAGCAUCAAGAGAAAGACCCUUUCAAUUCGAAGAAAGACCGAGCAGCAGCGGCCCUGAAAGAGUUCCUAAUAGUAAAAAACGAGGGACCAAAACUUUGUAUUCGUACAUUAAAAAGCCUGCAAAGGGUUUACAAUCGAAAGUAAUACGGAUCCAAAUCUAUGAUGCAGAAGAUUUAAAAAGUUCUAAAUUAUGUGAGUGUAGGGCUAAUGUAUGCGCUCAGCAUAUUGUUGAAAAUGUGUUUAACGAUGAUAUAUACAAGUGCGCAAAAGAUAUGAUAAGUAAAAUUCAAAAGAAACUGUAAAUAAUUCAUAAAUAAACAAUAUUACUGA
Molecule: long non-coding RNA, 1497 nt
Organism: Helicoverpa armigera (cotton bollworm)
Lineage: Eukaryota; Metazoa; Arthropoda; Insecta; Lepidoptera; Noctuidae
Exons: 2
Source: RefSeq, a predicted model, not a curated record